UACGUAGGGUGCAAGCGUUGUCCGGAAUUAUUGGGCGUAAAGAGCUCGUAGGCGGUCUGUCGCGUCGAAUGUGAAACCCCGAGGCUCAACCUCGGGUCUGCAUUCGAUACGGGCAGACUAGAGUUCGGUAGGGGAGUCUGGAAUUCCUGGUGUAGCGGUGAAUGCGCAGAUAUCAGGAGGAACACCGGUGGCGAAGGCGGGACUCUGGGCCGAUACUGACGCUGAGGAGCGAAAGCGUGGGGAGCGAACAGG
RNAcentral lists this ribosomal RNA (252 nucleotides) under uncultured bacterium. RNAcentral describes it as "partial 16S ribosomal RNA". It matches the Rfam family "Bacterial small subunit ribosomal RNA", at positions 524 to 776 of the family's 1533-position model. The record is from RNAcentral.